AGGGUAUUAGUUUAAGUUAAAACAUUUAAAUUGCAUUUAAAAUAUAAUUAGGUUUAUUAUACCUUA
This 66-nucleotide transfer RNA is filed under the name Mellinus arvensis (field digger wasp). RNAcentral's name for it is "tRNA-Ala". Lineage: Eukaryota; Metazoa; Arthropoda; Insecta; Hymenoptera; Crabronidae. The record is from RNAcentral.